RNAcentral lists this long non-coding RNA (1375 nucleotides) under Ornithorhynchus anatinus (platypus). Its description in RNAcentral is "lncRNA (ENSOANG00000049644.1)". The record is from RNAcentral. Lineage: Eukaryota; Metazoa; Chordata; Mammalia; Monotremata; Ornithorhynchidae.
AUAAAAAGGAGACUAGAGCUCAGUCAUUUGAAGUGAUUGGAAGGUUUGUGGUUAGCCAAUAGCAUAUGAUUUGUCAACUGUGUUUAAAGUCUUCCAGAGGGAAGAAGCUUAUGUUAUUUGUAUGUCUUCAGAAAAGGAGAGUUUCUGAGGGUUUCCACACCUCCUGGUUCACUGAGGCCUUUGAAAAUAGGCACCUGAGAGUCUGAAGUUGUUUACUUCUCCUCCCUCCCAUCUCAUCUCCCACUUCCUGCACCUGUGCAGGUGACUGCAAUGACCCCAGUGGCUACAUUUAGAAGAACACUGUGGAGAAGACUGAGGAAAUUUGGAAAUACAGCAACAGAAGUUAAAGUACCACAGGGUAUGACAAGAAAGAAGGAUAAGAAAUUCUCGGAUACUCUCCCUGCUUUUUGCUGAUUCUAAUUUGGGCUACAUUUCAUCCUGGCAAUUCAGGAAGAAAAACUGGAAGCUAUUCCUGGCUCAGCUGUCAAACAGACAGCAAAUGAAGGUUAUCUCAGAUGUGUCUCCUCUACUCCUGAGAGAACAUGGUGCGACUUAACAUUUCUUCAGUAACAUCAUUACUGUUGACAUCUUGAUGCAAGGAUGGGCAGUUUGCCAAUCUCGUCAUUUUGGAAGCAAAUUGGUUCAAGUAAUCGCCUAAAACAGCCUCUUGUAAGGAGCUUUAAGCAUAAGAGACUGCAUCCAUCAUUUCCAACUGUGAAGAAGAAACUAUUUCCCCACUAAAUGAUUUGAAAGUUUGAAGAGAUUUUAGAUGUGCUGAUGGAACACAGACUUCUGGUGUGGAUUCAAAGCAUGAUGGCAAGAAUUCAGUGUUGUCAAAUAUUCAAUUUAAAUUUGCCCUGUUAUUUACAUUCUCUAUGCUAAUACCUAUUAUUAUAUAAAUGAAUUUUGCUCCUACAGUGAAUCACUCAUUCUAUCUGGAGUCCUGCGUUUUAUUCCUCUAGCUGCACUUUGUAAAUGCGGUGCUCUUGGGUUUUAUCUUCUAGUGUUUCCUUUGUCCUACACAACUAAGAGUGGGCGUCCUGCUGAAUAGCAGACGCUGAUUUUAUAUCCACAAUAACAAUUCUAGUCAAGCGAGAUUGAUUUGACCGAGUGAUAACCCAUAAUUCACAGCACCGGGGCUCUCAAUUUAUGGAUUAGGUGAAUUUCCUCUCACUCAUCCCCCGCUUAUUUUUUCAAUUGUCACUGGAAAUAUUUAUGUGCAGCCAAAUGAAACAGUCCUAGUCACCACCCCGACGAUGGUCAUUGAUCCAAUUUUAUACUGGACAGUCCAGUUUUCAGCUGGUCUGUCUUUGUUUCUUAAUCAAUAUAUCAAUGAAUGCUUUUAUGUCUGGUAUUUUACUUUCAGCACCCAGCC